GAAAGAAAUAUGUCAAUCUCCGUUGUUUCUCCCUCCUUCCGGCGGCAAAAGGAGGGUAGGGUUUCACCUCAUCAUCCCUCUCGCCGUUUCCAGCGGAGUUCGGUGCCCCAGUCGAACUGCUCGGUAUAUGUAUUGUUGAAAGCAAAAGCAUUUGGUAAAAGAAGCAUCCUAUGAUAAGGAUUCUCAGUUUCGUGGCCAUGAAAUUCCAUCAGGUUGAUUUGUGCUACAACACUCAUCCAGUAUGACUGACAAUCGUAAAGGAAAUGGUGUGGUUUAAGAAGCAAAGGAUCCUUUAAACACGUCUGCCUAUCCAUUGAUAAGGUAUUGCGAGCACAAUGUGGAUUUGAUUCACCACCUCUUGGUUCCAGCUGCGGAGGAGAGAUCAAGCUGAAGACUGAGGAAGUCAUGGAAGUGGAGCUGUGAGUGAGCCUUGUCUCGAACAGAUCUUGAAACCAUGGAAUUGUUGGUGAUGGUGGUGGCAUCUUGCUGUGUCCAGAGAAAAAGAACCAUUACACCUGUUAUUAUUGUAACCCAAAUCAUUGAGAAGAUCCUAAUAUGAUAACACUGUAAUGGUUGGCAAGCUGAAAGAUUGUGGCAUGUCAAGUUAAGAAACAAAGCUCCGCAGAGUUGAAAUGGCAAAAAAGAAUGCAGAGUAUGUCAGAGUUGCAAUAAACAAUGCAAAUAAGCUCUCUUUUGUCCA
Molecule: long non-coding RNA, 700 nt
Organism: Musa acuminata AAA Group (dessert banana)
Lineage: Eukaryota; Viridiplantae; Streptophyta; Magnoliopsida; Zingiberales; Musaceae
Exons: 3
Source: RefSeq, a predicted model, not a curated record